This 416-nucleotide long non-coding RNA is filed under the name Anser brachyrhynchus (Pink-footed goose). Its description in RNAcentral is "lncRNA (ENSABRG00000017487.1)". Lineage: Eukaryota; Metazoa; Chordata; Aves; Anseriformes; Anatidae. The record is from RNAcentral.
AUCCUUCUUUUUUAUUUCAUCCUCCUUUCCAGAGAUAAAUUAAACUGCAUAGGACAAUGAUUAAAUUCUGUUACUCUUACAAGUGAACUGUGCAUUCCUGAGAUGUAUUAUAUGUAGGAGGGGAGGACUUGCUGAGUUUACACAGGUUUAUGAGUGUGCAUGGACAGAAGGAUGUGGGAACUGACCCAUGGGGAGAAAAUCAGAGAGGCUGCAACAUGAACCCAACCCUUUCAAGACACUGGUGAAUCUCUGCAGGAGAUGUGACUUGACUGGAGACUCUGGUGAUAACAAGGGGCUAAGAGGAAUGAAGACACAGAGCCUUGUCUAUUGCCUGUGAUCCACAAAACUCAGCACAAGAAAUGGAAGAAAGAAAUCUCAGCUGCAAUAAAUGUUUGUUUUCAUUUUUUUAAAAUCCA